Molecule: long non-coding RNA, 514 nt
Organism: Cyprinus carpio (common carp)
Lineage: Eukaryota; Metazoa; Chordata; Actinopteri; Cypriniformes; Cyprinidae
Source: Ensembl
CGGGCACAACCAGGAAGAACAAUCAAGACAAAUGCCUGGCAUGCCAUUCAGCUGUAAAAAACUGGGCAGAGUAGUCGCCAAGAGAUGUGAUCUACAUGUAGCUGCACCAAGAAAAAUACCUGGAGAUACCCGGAGAAAGCUCUUGGUUUGCAUUGCCAUUCAUGCCAAUGCCAGUUGUUUGGCUGGCGCAGGACCCCGAAGGCAGCAGAUGAGGAAAAGUCCAUUUCACACUUUCGAGAGCCUCAAAAGAAUGAGAAAUUGGUGAAACAUCUGCUAUAUUAUUACAUAUUUGUGUUGAAUAGGCAAUUGAAUGCAGCUGAUUUUUUUUUUUUUUUUUUGCAUCCAGAUGGUGUAGAUAUGACAUCUAUAGCCAGACCUUGAGUGCUUGGAUGACACUUUUGCGAGCAACCCGAGUUCAAACCUGGCUCGUGUCAUUUCCUGAUCCCAUUCCCCUACUCUCCUCUCAUGUUUCACUGUCUUCUCAAUAAAAAUGGUAAAAACACUGAAGGUUGCA